CCAACAAAAGGAUAAGACUUGGUCUUAGUGUAUAGGAGUUUUUGAAAAUAGAAUAGUAGAAUAGAUAAAUGUAAGGAGCAAUAAACUCUUUCUUGUUCUAUCMAGAGGGGUUAUUGCUCCUUUAUUUUCUUUUGAAUUAGUAGUCUUUUAUUGUACUUACCUAGAUUCCAUUUCUAUUACAGAAAAGGAAAGGGUAUUCUUGGGGGUAAUGAUUGAAUACUAUUCUUUUGUUCUGUAUAAUUUUUUUUUUCAUUUAUCUAACUUCUUGUAAAAAGGUUGGAAAGUUUUUUAUUCGUUUAAAACGAAUAAAAAAUCGACCUUUUGCUUAAUCUUUUUAUUUUAAACAUAAAAGAGAAAAAAAAAGAAAGAAGAUAAAAAAAAAUGAUUGAAAUUCCMCCCCUUGUCUUACGUCUUACAAUUUCUAAAAAUCCAAAUUGCAAAAUCGAAUUUUUAAAAUAAAAAAAUAUUAAUAUAAAUAUAUUUACAAAGAAAAUAAAUUCUAGUAGAGGGGCGGAUGU
Molecule: unclassified non-coding RNA, 518 nt
Filed under: Pisonia aculeata
Lineage: Eukaryota; Viridiplantae; Streptophyta; Magnoliopsida; Caryophyllales; Nyctaginaceae
Description: partial miscellaneous RNA
Source: RNAcentral